GGCGGCGGGUUCCCGCAAAAGGUCUUGGGGAAAGGAGCAUGCGCUGGAAGCUGUGUGCUGUUGGUUUGAGGAUCUUCAGUAAGCUAAAAGCGGAGAGUCAGGGGCCUUCUGCCCUACCAUGGUAUUUGCUAACGUUUAGAGAGUGCUUCCCCUUGCCGAGCACUGGCAAGAAGGCCCUCACCAAAUGCCAGCACCUUGACAUUGGACUUUCCAGCCUCCAGAAAUAUCACUCCUUUAUUAUACAGAUCAAGAAAAAGGAUUUAGUACUGUUAUGCUCAAAUGAACACUGGACCCAUGUGUCAGGGCCAAGCAACUAGAACAUGAUUCAGAAAUCAGUCAGAGAAAGACACACUUGGACAGGACCAAGAGGCAUUUCAUUGUCACGAAACAAGGUGGGGGAGGGAUUCCAAAACACACAGCAGGAAGUACUUCUAACCCUCAGAGGUCAAGGAGCUUAUCCCAUAUUGGUAUGAGGAAUGGCUUAUUUUCUGAUGACCACAUGUGGGACUAUUUCAACUGCCACGAGAAAUCCCAGAAGGGUUAUUAUUUUGUAUUAUUUAUAUAUACUAUACCUUUUUUAAAAAAAUAAAUGUAACACAUAAA
This 603-nucleotide non-coding RNA is filed under the name Pongo abelii (Sumatran orangutan). Lineage: Eukaryota; Metazoa; Chordata; Mammalia; Primates; Hominidae. The record is from RNAcentral.